Hippoglossus stenolepis (Pacific halibut) is the source of this 203-nucleotide long non-coding RNA. RefSeq lists it as uncharacterized. NCBI's taxonomy places the organism in Eukaryota, Metazoa, Chordata, Actinopteri, Pleuronectiformes, Pleuronectidae. The transcript has 3 exons. The record is from RefSeq and is a predicted model, not a curated record.
CGCGGUCACUGACACGUAGAAACCAAACUCAUGAUUCAAUGACGUCAUGUGAACUUUUCAGAUUAUACGUCACAAGGUGGAAAAACUUCUGCCAUGAUUUGUCUCGGUCACAUUUAUCACAACAACCUGACGUCUUAAAAGAGUAAAAGUACCAAACAUUACAAGAAGUGUUUUGUGGACUCAAACACUUCACACCCCCGCGC